Molecule: ribosomal RNA, 494 nt
Filed under: uncultured bacterium
Lineage: Bacteria
Description: partial 16S ribosomal RNA
Rfam family: Bacterial small subunit ribosomal RNA
Source: RNAcentral
AUUGAACGCUGGCGGCAUGCUUUACACAUGCAAGUCGAACGGCAGCGGGGAGGAGCUUGCUUCUCUGCCGGCGAGUGGCGAACGGGUGAGUAAUACAUCGGAACGUGUCGAGAAGAGGGGGAUAACCACCCGAAAGGGUGGCUAAUACCGCAUAAAUUCUGAGGAAGAAAGCUGGGGACCUAGGAAUAGGCCUAGCGCUUUUUGAGCGGCCGAUGUCGGAUUAGCUAGUUGGUGAGGUAAAGGCUCACCAAGGCGAAGAUCUGUAGCGGGUCUGAGAGGAUGAUCCGCCACACGGGGACUGAGACACGGCCCAGACUCCUACGGGAGGCAGCAGUGGGGAAUUUUGGACAAUGGGGGCAACCCUGAUCCAGCCAUGCCGCGUGUAUGAAGAAGGCCUUAGGGUUGUAAAGUACUUUUGUUAGGGAAGAAAAGUCAGCUGUGAAUAAUGGCUGAUACUGACGGUACCUAAAGAAUAAGCACCGGCUAACUACGUG